Molecule: long non-coding RNA, 474 nt
Organism: Symphalangus syndactylus (siamang)
Lineage: Eukaryota; Metazoa; Chordata; Mammalia; Primates; Hylobatidae
Source: RefSeq, a predicted model, not a curated record
AUGCAAUUGUGACAUAUGGCAGAACCAAGCACUUAGGAGAUGUGACUCCAUACUCCUGCCUUGGUGCUGCCCCUCGGGUUGGAGGGGGGAGGAUUGCAACAUAUUACUGGGCCUUGCAUCCAAGUAAUGUGUGAUUGUGGCAUAUGUCUUUGCCCAUACCCUGAGUGAUUUUAGUUCCCUGCCUGAGCCCAGCCCACAGAUGGAAUUGUGACAUAUACCAAGGCCAAGCACCAGGGUGGGAUUGUGACAUACACCUGGGACAUGCUCACUGGUGCAAUGAUGACAGUCAUACUUCAACCCACCAAACAGGAGAAAUAUUGAUUCUCUCUACUAGGCUUUGGGCAACAGGUGGGGUAGUGACUCUUGAGAAAGAAUUCAACAUGCCCGUGAGCCUGUGACUUUCAUACCAGGACACUGUCUUUGGGUGGGAUUGGGACUCUCAUUCACAGAUUCAAUAUAUCAUUGAAAUGGUGA